UAGGGAAUCUUCCGCAAUGGGCGAAAGCCUGACGGAGCAACGCCGCGUGAGUGAUGAAGGUCUUCGGAUCGUAAAACUCUGUUAUUAGGGAAGAACAAAUGUGUAAGUAACUAUGCACGUCUUGACGGUACCUAAUCAGAAAGCCACGGCUAACUACGUGCCAGCAGCCGCGGUAAUACGUAGGUGGCAAGCGUUAUCCGGAAUUAUUGGGCGUAAAGCGCGCGUAGGCGGUUUUUUAAGUCUGAUGUGAAAGCCCACGGCUCAACCGUGGAGGGUCAUUGGAAACUGGAAAACUUGAGUGCAGAAGAGGAAAGUGGAAUUCCAUGUGUAGCGGUGAAAUGCGCAGAGAUAUGGGGGAACACCAGUGGCGAAGGCGACUUUCUGGUCUGUAACUGACGCUGAUGUGCGAAAGCGUGGGGAUCAAACAGA
RNAcentral lists this ribosomal RNA (429 nucleotides) under Actinomycetes bacterium. Its description in RNAcentral is "Actinobacteria bacterium partial 16S ribosomal RNA". It matches the Rfam family "Bacterial small subunit ribosomal RNA", at positions 355 to 776 of the family's 1533-position model. Lineage: Bacteria; Bacillati; Actinomycetota; Actinomycetes. The record is from RNAcentral.